Molecule: ribosomal RNA, 258 nt
Filed under: uncultured bacterium
Lineage: Bacteria
Description: partial 16S ribosomal RNA
Rfam family: Bacterial small subunit ribosomal RNA
Source: RNAcentral
CAGGUACAGCGGGAAGCCAUAUGGCGACAUAGAGCGGAACCCGAAAACCUGUCUCAGUUCGGAUUGGAGUCUGCAACCCGACUCCAUGAAGCUGGAUUCGCUAGUAAUCGCGCAUCAGCCACGGCGCGGUGAAUACGUUCCCGGGCCUUGUACACACCGCCCGUCAAGCCAUGGAAGCCGGGGGUGCCUGAAGUGCGCUGCCGCAAGGAGCGCCCUAGGGUAAAACCGGUGACUGGGGCUAAGUCGUAACAAGGUACC